This 497-nucleotide ribosomal RNA is filed under the name Cyclospora cayetanensis. RNAcentral's name for it is "SSU rRNA". It matches the Rfam family "Eukaryotic small subunit ribosomal RNA", at positions 581 to 1083 of the family's 1831-position model. Lineage: Eukaryota; Apicomplexa; Conoidasida; Eucoccidiorida; Eimeriidae. The record is from RNAcentral.
AAUUCCAGCUCCAAUAGUGUAUAUUAGAGUUGUUGCAGUUAAAAAGCUCGUAGUUGGAUUUCUGUCGUGGUCAUCCGGCCUUGCCCGUAGGGUGUGCGCCUGGGUUGCCCGCGGCUUUUUUCCGGUAGCCUUCCGCGCUUCGCUGCGUGCGUUGGUGUUCCGGAACUUUUACUUUGAGAAAAAUAGAGUGUUUCAAGCAGGCUUGUCGCCCUGAAUACUGCAGCAUGGAAUAAUAAGAUAGGACCUUGGUUCUAUUUUGUUGGUUUCUAGGACCGAGGUAAUGAUUAAUAGGGACAGUUGGGGGCAUUCGUAUUUAACUGUCAGAGGUGAAAUUCUUAGAUUUGUUAAAGACGAACUACUGCGAAAGCAUUUGCCAAGGAUGUUUUCAUUAAUCAAGAACGACAGUAGGGGGUUUGAAGACGAUUAGAUACCGUCGUAAUCUCUACCAUAAACUAUGCCGACUAGAGAUAGGGAAACGCCUACCUUGGCUUCUCCUG